GCAGUCGACGAUGACCGGUUUCGGCCGGGGAUUAGUGGCGAACGGGUGAGUAACACGUGGGCAAUCUGCCCUGCACUCUGGGACAAGCCCUGGAAACGGGGUCUAAUACCGGAUAUGACCACCGGCCGCAUGGUCUGGUGGUGGAAAGCUCCGGCGGUGCAGGAUGAGCCCGCGGCCUAUCAGCUUGUUGGUGGGGUGAUGGCCUACCAAGGCGACGACGGGUAGCCGGCCUGAGAGGGCGACCGGCCACACUGGGACUGAGACACGGCCCAGACUCCUACGGGAGGCAGCAGUGGGGAAUAUUGCACAAUGGGCGCAAGCCUGAUGCAGCGACGCCGCGUGAGGGAUGACGGCCUUCGGGUUGUAAACCUCUUUCAGCAGGGAAGAAGCGCGAGUGACGGUACCUGCAGAAGAAGCACCGGCUAACUACGUGCCAGCAGCCGCGGUAAUACGUAGGGUGCGAGCGUUGUCCGGAAUUAUUGGGCGUAAAGAGCUCGUAGGCGGCCUGUCGCGUCGGAUGUGAAAGCCCGGGGCUUAACCCCGGGUCUGCAUUCGAUACGGGCAGGCUAGAGUUCGGCAGGGGAGAUUGGAAUUCCUGGUGUAGCGGUGAAAUGCGCAGAUAUCAGGAGGAACACCGGUGGCGAAGGCGGAUCUCUGGGCCGAUACUGACGCUGAGGAGCGAAAGCGUGGGGAGCGAACAGGAUUAGAUACCCUGGUAGUCCACGCCGUAAACGUUGGGCACUAGGUGU
Molecule: ribosomal RNA, 749 nt
Filed under: Streptomyces sp. KLBMP 03521
Lineage: Bacteria; Bacillati; Actinomycetota; Actinomycetes; Kitasatosporales; Streptomycetaceae
Description: bacterial SSU rRNA
Rfam family: Bacterial small subunit ribosomal RNA
Source: RNAcentral